AUGCAGUUAAUGACGUGUACACGCAGCUGCCGGGAGACUCCACACAGCUCCACCAGAAAGUCAGAUGAGCAAAAGCAAAGGGCGGGGCCGGGGGGCAGCAGGAAACAGCCGCGCCGUGAGAGGCGGGCUGGAGGGCGCGUAGGUGAGCUGCUCCUCGGGUUUAGGCAACAAACCACAGCAAAAAUUAUCAUAAAAUCCUGCUUUUCACUUCGCUGGGCUUCCUCAGUGCGUCCCCAGCGCCCCUCGCCCUUCUACUCAGCAGCGGUGUGCGAGCAGCCCUCCCGCCGCGCCGUCCCGUCCCGUCCCGUCCCCCGGCACGCCCCUCACCGGGAAAGGCCACUCAGCCCCUCCGCUCCCGAGCCGCCCCGUCCCCACAGGCUCUCUUCCCCGGGGGAAGGGCUCCCCCGCUCCCCAUCCUCCCCGCUCCCGAGCCUGGGCACCUCCCGAAAGCUCGGGCUGCCACCGCGCCUGGGACAGGGAGCUCCCAAGCCCCCUCAGCAUCGCCAGGCCACGGCACCUCCCGGCACUCACCGGCCCUUACCCCGGGCGGGCCCGGCGGCUGCACCGCCGUGUUACGGCGUUGCCGGUGGAGACGGUCCGCCCGCUGGCGGGAGGAGCCGGCGCCGCUUCCCGUCGCCAGGGAGCGCGGGAGGCGCGCGCCAGGCCACCCCUGGGGCGGAGAGGGACGGAAAAGGCCGUGGGUCAGCGGGGUCACCGGGCCUGUGCUCGCCGCCCCACGGGAGAGCCCCUCCCACAGGGCACACAACCGGCUCAGCCGCCGGGCUGCCCAUACUCGCCAUAGCAACCGCGCGGCUUCCAAUUGGUUACUGCGCAUGCGCAGCGUCGUCUUUGUGGUUCGCGUCUUCCCCCGCGAAACCGCGUGCGACUCGGGAAAAUACGGAUGCGUUUCCCCGAUUUCCCGGGGGGUCCCAGGUGCCCGGGGGGGUUCCUAAGGAGGGGAAGGCGCUUUUCCGAGGGGGAGAGGGGAGGGAGGUGUGUGGGGAGCCCCAAAACUUCGGGGCGGGGGUGUGUGUGUGUCGUAAAAAUUCGUCCGGGCUGCCCAUACUCGCCAUGGCAACCGCGCGGCUUGGGCUUGGUUAG
Molecule: long non-coding RNA, 1101 nt
Filed under: Calidris pugnax (ruff)
Lineage: Eukaryota; Metazoa; Chordata; Aves; Charadriiformes; Scolopacidae
Description: lncRNA (ENSCPUG00000015678.1)
Source: RNAcentral